UGGGGAAUAUUGCACAAUGGGCGAAAGCCUGAUGCAGCGACGCCGCGUGAGGGAUGACGGCCUUCGGGUUGUAAACCUCUUUCAGCAGGGACGAAGCGCAAGUGACGGUACCUGCAGAAGAAGCACCGGCUAACUACGUGCCAGCAGCCGCGGUAAUACGUAGGGUGCAAGCGUUGUCCGGAAUUACUGGGCGUAAAGAGUUCGUAGGCGGUUUGUCGCGUCGUUUGUGAAAACCAGCAGCUCAACUGCUGGCUUGCAGGCGAUACGGGCAGACUUGAGUACUGCAGGGGAGACUGGAAUUCCUGGUGUAGCGGUGAAAUGCGCAGAUACCAGGAGGAACACCGGUGGCGAAGGCGGGUCUCUGGGCAGUAACUGACGCUGAGGAACGAAAGCGUGGGUAGCGAACAGG
RNAcentral lists this ribosomal RNA (409 nucleotides) under Brucella melitensis. RNAcentral's name for it is "partial 16S ribosomal RNA". It matches the Rfam family "Bacterial small subunit ribosomal RNA", at positions 355 to 776 of the family's 1533-position model. RNAcentral also lists the same sequence under 1 other name. The record is from RNAcentral. Lineage: Bacteria; Pseudomonadati; Pseudomonadota; Alphaproteobacteria; Hyphomicrobiales; Brucellaceae.